CUUGGUCAUUUAGAGGAAGUAAAAGUCGUAACAAGGUUUCCGUAGGUGAACCUGCGGAAGGAUCAUUAGUGAAUUGAGCUGGCUUCGGCCGCUCUGAUCUAUACACACCCGUGAACUGUUGGCCUUCGGGUCUUUAAUUACAACUGUGACGAACGUAAAUUAUUAUAACAAAUAAAACUUUUAACAACGGAUCUCUUGGCUCUCGCAUCGAUGAAGAACGCAGCGAAAUGCGAUAAGUAAUGUGAAUUGCAGAAUUCAGUGAAUCAUCGAAUCUUUGAACGCACCUUGCGCCCGUUGGUAUUCCGACGGGCAUGCCUGUUUGAGUGUCGUGAACAACCUCAACCUUGAUUGGUUUUACCAUCAAGGCUUGGACUUGGGUGUUGCUGCUGCAAAGUGGCUCGCCUUAAAACUAUUAGCUGGACUUGUCUAUGACUUGGUUCGACUCGAUGUAAUAAGUAUUCAUCGGGGACAGGGUUAAACCUGGCCAAGGCUUGAUGCCGUCUGCUUCUAAUCAUGUUCUCACUAUGAGACGCUACUUUACUGUGUGGCCUCAAAUCAGGUAGGAUUACCCGCUGAACUUAAGCAUAUCAAUAAGCGGAGGAAAAGAAACUAACAAGGAUUCCCCUAGUAACGGCGAGUGAAGCGGGAUGAGCUCAAAUUUGUAAUCUGGUGGACUCAGUUCAUCCGAAUUGUAAUCUAUAGAAAAGUUUUCCGCGCUGGACCGUGUCUAAGUCCCUUGGAACAGGGUGUCAGAGAGGGUGAGAAUCCCGUGCUUGAUACGACCACCAGUGCUAUGUGAUACUUUUUCAACGAGUCGAGUUGUUUGGGAAU
This 831-nucleotide small RNA is filed under the name uncultured Cryptococcus. Its description in RNAcentral is "eukaryotic LSU rRNA". The stretch from base 546 to 831 matches the Rfam family "Eukaryotic large subunit ribosomal RNA", at positions 1 to 281 of the family's 3401-position model. Lineage: Eukaryota; Fungi; Basidiomycota; Tremellomycetes. The record is from RNAcentral.